AAUCCGUUAACGAGAAUCUAUUGGAGGGCAAGUCUGGUGCCAGCAGCCGCGGUAAUUCCAGCUCCAAUAGCGUAUAUUAAUGUUGUUGCAGUUAAAAAGCUCGUAGUUGGAUCUGAGGACUCGAAUCGUCGGUGCAGUCAACGCUGUUACUGUUGAUUCGGCCUACCUAGUCGGUGCUCGCUCUUGGUGUUCUUAAUUGAAUGCCCUGAGUGCCCGACAUGUUUACUUUGAAAAAAUUAGAGUGCUCAAAGCAGGCCAUUAGCCGGAAUACUUCAGCAUGGAAUAAUGGAAUAGGACUUCGGUUCUAUUUUGUUGGUUUUCGGAACCCGAGGUAAUGAUUAAGAGAGACAGACGGGGGCAUUCGUACUGCGGUGUUAGAGGUGAAAUUCUUGGAUCGCCGCAAGACGAACAACUGCGAAAGCAUUUGCCAAGAAUGUUUUCAUUAAUCAAGAACGAAAGUCAGAGGUUCGAAGACGAUCAGAUACCGUCCUAGUUCUGACCAUAAACGAUGCCAACUGGCGAUCCGAGAUCGUUUGCUAUUUGACCUCUCGGGCAGCCUCCGGGAAACCAAAGUCUUUAGGUUCCGGGGGAAGUAUGGUUGCAAAGCUGGAACUUAAAGGAAUUGACGGAAGGGCACCACCAGGAGUGGAGCCUGCGGCUUAAUUUGACCCAACACGGGAAAACUCACCCGGCCCGGACACUGUUAGGAUUGACAGAUUGAGAGCUCUUUCUUGAUUCGGUGGGUGGUGGUGCAUGGCCGUUCUUAGUUGGUGGAGCGAUUUGUCUGGUUAAUUCCGAUAACGAACGAGACUCUAGCCUGCUAAAUAGUACGCCGAUAUCCAUUUUGUCGGUGCCGACUUCUUAGAGGGACAAGCGUCUUGAAGACGCACGAGAUUGAGCAAUAACAGGUCUGCGAUGCCCUUAGAUGUUCGGGGCCGCACGCGCGCUACACUGAAGGGGACAGCGAGUUUUUCCUGGUUUGAAAAAACCGGGUAAUCUGUUGAAUUCCCUUCGUGACAGGGAUCGGGGCUUGCAAUUAUUCCCCGUGAACGAGGAAUUCCCAGUAAGCGCAAGUCAUCAGCUUGCGUUGAUUACGUCCCUGCCCUUUGUACACACCGCCCGUCGCUACUACCGAUUGAAUGGUUUAGCAAGGUCCUCGGAUUGGUGCCAACUAGGUGGUAACACUUGGUCGGAUACU
RNAcentral lists this ribosomal RNA (1198 nucleotides) under metagenome. RNAcentral describes it as "SSU rRNA". It matches the Rfam family "Eukaryotic small subunit ribosomal RNA", at positions 528 to 1748 of the family's 1831-position model. The record is from RNAcentral.